GAGGCUGCGUCGCCCAGUCGGCCGUGGUGUUACCUCAUGCAGGUCGAGCGCGCCCCCGCGGCGCGCGUCAGUCACGCAUCAGACCUCUAAUCGGAAAAGACUACCCGCUGAGUUUAA
Molecule: ribosomal RNA, 117 nt
Filed under: Alleniella complanata
Lineage: Eukaryota; Viridiplantae; Streptophyta; Bryopsida; Hypnales; Neckeraceae
Description: partial 26S ribosomal RNA
Source: RNAcentral